Molecule: ribosomal RNA, 253 nt
Filed under: uncultured bacterium
Lineage: Bacteria
Description: partial 16S ribosomal RNA
Rfam family: Bacterial small subunit ribosomal RNA
Source: RNAcentral
UACGUAGGGGGCAAGCGUUGUCCGGAAUUAUUGGGCGUAAAGCGCGCGUAGGCGGUCCUUUAAGUCUGAUGUGAAAGCCCACGGCUCAACCGUGGAGGGUCAUUGGAAACUGGGGGACUUGAGUACAGAAGAGGAAAGCGGAAUUCCACGUGUAGCGGUGAAAUGCGUAGAGAUGUGGAGGAACACCAGUGGCGAAGGCGGCUCACUGGACCGGAACUGACGCUGAGGCGCGAAAGCGUGGGGAGCAAACAGG